UGAGAUGUGGCUCAGUGGUAUAGCUCUUGCCUUGCAUGUACAACACCCUGGGUUCAAUUCCCAGGACCACAA
This 72-nucleotide transfer RNA is filed under the name Cavia porcellus (domestic guinea pig). It matches the Rfam family "tRNA". From Rfam's summary of the family: Transfer RNA (tRNA) molecules are approximately 80 nucleotides in length. Lineage: Eukaryota; Metazoa; Chordata; Mammalia; Rodentia; Caviidae. The record is from Rfam by way of RNAcentral.